AUACGUAGUGGCGAGCGUUGUCCGGAAUUACUGGGUGUAAAGGGCGUGUAGGCGGAGAUGCAAGUUGGGAGUGAAAUCCCGGGGCUCAACCCCGGAACUGCUUUCAAAACUGUAUCCCUUGAGUAUCGGAGAGGCAAGCGGAAUUCCUAGUGUAGCGGUGAAAUGCGUAGAUAUUAGGUGGAACACCAGUAGCGAAGGCGGCUUUCUGGACUGUAACUGACACUGAGGCACGAAAGCGUGGGGAGC
RNAcentral lists this ribosomal RNA (246 nucleotides) under uncultured bacterium. RNAcentral describes it as "partial 16S ribosomal RNA". It matches the Rfam family "Bacterial small subunit ribosomal RNA", at positions 523 to 769 of the family's 1533-position model. The record is from RNAcentral.